AGUCUCUCAGCCCUGGCAGCCAGUGAAGUUUCCUGUUAAGAUGAAUGACAGAGCUCAGAGGUGAUUUGUACUCCCUGAGUCUCCAGGAACCUUUGUAAGAACAAAGUUUGUCUGAGCCCAGCACUUAACACCCUACAGAGCAGGGGUGAGGUGAAGGAGCCCAGCACUUAACACCCUACAGAGCAGGGGUGAGGUGAAGCACAAGGCCAGGAGCCAUGAAGAGGAGCCUAGGAACUCUGCUGGGGCUUCUGUGGAUCCAGGUUUGCUGGGUGAGAGGGCUGGAGGUGGAGCAGAGUCCUUCAGCCCUGAGUGUCCAGGAGGGAGCCAGCCCCACUCUGCGGUGUAAUUUUUCUGAAACUGUGAACAAUGUGCAGUGGUUCCGACAGAAUCCCGGGAGCGGCCUCAUCCUUCUGUUCUUCAUAGCUUCAGGGACAAAGGAGAAUGGAAGGUUGACGUCAACCAUGAAUUCCCGGGAGCGCUACAGCACCCUCCACAUCGCAGCCUCCCAGCUGGCUGACUCAGGCACCUACCUCUGUGCUGCAAGGCACAGUGCUCCCAGGUCACCUGCUGCCUGCACCCAAACUGCAGCUGAGCUUGUAACCCCACCCCUCUCUGAGAGGCACGUGUCUUCUACAGCAGUAUUUGCACUGCUUGGUGUUUCCUGCUCGAGGUUGGAGCACGUUCACCUCUGGACGGUGACUACUAUGAACAGUCUUAGAUCCUAG
Ochotona curzoniae (black-lipped pika) is the source of this 725-nucleotide non-coding RNA. NCBI's taxonomy places the organism in Eukaryota, Metazoa, Chordata, Mammalia, Lagomorpha, Ochotonidae. The record is from the annotation of a RefSeq genome assembly.